CCUACGGGUGGCAGCAGUGGGGGAUAUUGCACAAUGGGGGGAACCCUGAUGCAGCGACGCCGCGUGGGUGAAGAAGCGCCUCGGCGCGUAAAGCCUCGUUUGUAGGGAAGAAAAUGACGGUACCUGUAGAAGAAGCCCCGGCUAACUACGUGCCAGCAGCCGUGGCAAGACGGAGGGGGCCAGCGUUAUCCGGAUUUACCGGGUGUAAAGGGGGUGCAGACGGGGAUGCAAGCCAGGAGUGAAAGUCCGGGGACCAACCCCGGGACUGCCCUUGAAACUGGGUGGCUGGAGUGCAGGAGGGGCAGGCGGAAUUCGUGGUGUAGCGGUGAAAUGCGUAGAUAUCAGGAAGAACCCCGAUUGCGAAGGCAGCCUUCCGGCGCCCUACUGACGCUGAGGCACGAAAGUGCGGGGAUCGAACAGGAUUAGAUACCCGAGUAGUC
RNAcentral lists this ribosomal RNA (440 nucleotides) under uncultured bacterium. RNAcentral describes it as "partial 16S ribosomal RNA". It matches the Rfam family "Bacterial small subunit ribosomal RNA", at positions 338 to 795 of the family's 1533-position model. The record is from RNAcentral.